AUCGUAACUCCUACGGGAGGCAGCAGUGGGGAAUUUUGGACAAUGGGGGCAACCCUGAUCCAGCAAUGCCGCGUGAGUGAAGAAGGCCUUCGGGUUGUAAAGCUCUUUUGUCAGGGAAGAAACGGUAGUAGCUAAUAUCUAUUACUAAUGACGGUACCUGAAGAAUAAGCACCGGCUAACUACGUGCCAGCAGCCGCGGUAAUACGUAGGGUGCAAGCGUUAAUCGGAAUUACGGGGCGUAAAGCGUGCGCAGGCGGUUGUGUAAGUCAGAUGUGAAAUCCCCGGGCUCAACCUGGGAAUUGCAUUUGAGACUGCACGUCUAGAGUGUGUCAGAGGGGGGUAGAAUUCCACGUGUAGCAGUUAAAUGCGUAGAUAUGUGGAGGAAUACCGAUGGCGAAGACAGCCCCCUGGGAUAACACUGACGCUCAUGCACGAAAGCGUGGGGAGAAAACAGGAUUAGAAACCCGGGUAGUCCUAGAGC
Molecule: ribosomal RNA, 481 nt
Filed under: uncultured bacterium
Lineage: Bacteria
Description: bacterial SSU rRNA
Rfam family: Bacterial small subunit ribosomal RNA
Source: RNAcentral